ACGACUCUCGGCAACGGAUAUCUCGGCUCUCGCAUCGAUGAAGAACGUAGCAAAAUGCGAUACUUGGUGUGAAUUGCAGAAUCCCGUGAACCAUCGAGUCUUUGAACGCAAGUUGCGCCCGAAGCCGUUAGGCCGAGGGCACGUCUGCCUGGGCGUCACGCA
This 162-nucleotide ribosomal RNA is filed under the name Solanum seaforthianum. RNAcentral describes it as "5.8S ribosomal RNA". It matches the Rfam family "5.8S ribosomal RNA". From Rfam's summary of the family: 5.8S ribosomal RNA (5.8S rRNA) is a component of the large subunit of the eukaryotic ribosome. It is transcribed by RNA polymerase I as part of the 45S precursor that also contains 18S and 28S rRNA. Functionally, it is thought that 5.8S rRNA may be involved in ribosome translocation. The record is from RNAcentral. Lineage: Eukaryota; Viridiplantae; Streptophyta; Magnoliopsida; Solanales; Solanaceae.